Molecule: long non-coding RNA, 2038 nt
Organism: Sceloporus undulatus (fence lizard)
Lineage: Eukaryota; Metazoa; Chordata; Lepidosauria; Squamata; Phrynosomatidae
Exons: 5
Source: RefSeq, a predicted model, not a curated record
AGGAGCGUUCUUUCUUUCUCCUCUUAUCAGGAGCAGCGAGUUCAGAUUCCUAGAGGGGCCGAAAAUGUUAAUAUGGGGGAAGAGGAAAAUGGCCGCUGCCUCUGACGUCAUUUCCGGUGAAUGGCGAGAAAGAGGGUUUGAGUCAAUAUCCAGCAUUUAGGCUGAAGUCUUAAAACAAAAUUUCCUGACAUCCUUGGUGAAUGAAAAACAAUUCCUCCCUCAAAACCAGGCACUGCUGUGGCACCAGCGGACUAAUCCACAUCCCCUCUUUGGGCUGAACAGAAAAGAGCUGCUGGACCUCUACUUGAAUUCCUGACCUUCAAGGCUGCAAGUAGAUGUCAAGGAGACCAAGCUACUAAAGGAAAAGACCCCAGGGCAGGUCCAGAGGAGGUGGCUUGCAAAGUUCAGGUAAGAAUUUAUUUUGUUUAUUUCCCUGAGCAUCUCUUUCUCUCCUCUCUCCCUUGGUGGUCUUCUCCCUGGGUUUCUCUUUCUGGAGAGGCUGGCAGUCUUAUGUGUCUUAUUGAAAGUCCUAUACAGUCACCCCUCCAUUUUCACAGAUCUGAAAUCCAUGCCCCUCACAUAUCGGGGGGGGGGGCAAACAGAGGGGGACUAAGUGGGGCGUGUGUCCGUGACAUGUGCCCACAUGCACUCAUGGACAUACACUACCAUUCAAGCCAAUAGGGCUAGAAUAUCGACAAGUUUCCAUUUUCACGGGGGGUCUGGAACAGAUCCCCUGCAAAAAUGGAGGGCUGACUGUAGUGUGACUGUGUAUUUAUUCACUUCUCUGGAUUGAAAGAAUAACACCUAGAUUAAAGAACAAUACGUAGAAGAAAAAACUUCCUUUUGCCCCACAGUCCUCCAAGCAUAGAACUCUGCUUCCUAGAGAAGCAGGAAGGGGGUAAUGAGGGGGAAGGAGGAGAGGGUGGCACCCCCUAGUCAUAUUUCUAGACUGGAUAUUUUUGGCAGGAAAAGGAAGGAGUUUGGGAAAGGAAGACAGUAAUAAUCAUAAUAAGGGGCUGGAGAGACCCCAAAUUUAAAUGUGGAUUAUUUUAAUGUGUGUACAUCUUAUCUUCCCUUUUAGAUUGAUGAGUGUUUUGACUGAUGCUGUUUGUUGUUGUUCCCUGCCUCGAUCCAUCUUUUGAUACUGGUUCUCAGGUGAAAGGACUUCUCAGAUUGCCUCUCCUUCAGGGAAGAGACCUGCUUGCGAUUGGAAGCCUUCACAAAUUUCUCCUUCCCUGUGUGUAUGUGUGUGCCUUCAAGUUGCCUGUCAAUUUAUGGUGACCACAUGAAUUUCAUAGGGUUUUAUUAGCCAUGGAAUCCUCAGAUAUGGCUUUGUAUCUUCUUCUGAAAUAUAGCCUACAUCGUGGUAUUUGUUGGCAGUCUCUCGGCCAAGUACUAACCAGGCCUGAUCCUGCUAAACUUCCAAGAUCAGUCAGGAUCUGGUGCUUCUAGGGUACCUGUACAGCAUAACAAUUAUUAACACAACAACAUACAUUGAUGGUGCUCUAAAUACCUGAUAAUAUCAGUAAUAACACAACAAUCUAUUGGUUUUACAGGGCAUUGCAGCACAGCAUCUUAGGGACAUCUUUGCCCUGAGACUGAUGGAAUUCGGUCUUCUUUUCGGUUUAUUUUUAUUCCAAAGUUAUCUUGUUAUUCCAACAUAUCAAAUUACCAACAACUGUACAGGCUGUACAGUUAGGUAUAACUAACAGUAGUAGUAGGUUUUCAUUUUUAUUUCUCCAUGUGUCUGUUACAGUUCUUCUUUUAAAAUACACACACAAACAUACAUCUAGAUCCAUGAGAAGACUUCCAUUAUAGGUCAAAGCAAGCUGUUCUAGGACUUCAGAUGUUCUUUUCUGUGGGCUCCAUGGAAUUACCUGUGCUCCAGCAUAUACAAUAAUGUUAUAUGAUAUAUAAUGAUGCAGUGACUAAGGAUGGCAUCUGUCCUCUGAAUGCCUGCCUGGAGUCAGUAAUGGGCUGGAUGAGGGAAAACAAACUCAGUUUGAAUCCAGAGAAAACGGAAGUACUGGUGAUAGGU